UCCUGGACUAAGGGACCGCGGCGGGCUGCGCUGUAGGGGCCCUCCCUCCCCUGCGGCGGGGCCGACCUCGCCACGCCCCCGGCGUCCUGGGGUCCCCGAAGUCCCUCCCGGCCGUGGCGUGGGCCCUUCACCUGGGCCUGCAGGGGACCGUGCUUCCCCGCCAAACCCUUUGCGCCCCCAUCCCGGCCUGCAGGAGACAGAGCGCCCCUCCCUCCCGGGCGAGGCGCGGGUUCAGUUCAAUCCUACUUCUGCCUGGAAACCUUCUCCAUGACCUCCCCACUUCCAGCAUGGGUUAGUGGCCCCACCCAGGUACUUCCUUGUACCUGGCAUCUGUUUACCUGCCUGUUCCUCAUCGGGACUGGGAGCUCCUGGAUGGCAAGCUCUGUGCCUGAUUCGCCCAGCACACAGCCUGUCGCAUGGCAUAGGUGCUCAAUGGAUGUUUGUUGAAUGAAUAAUUCCAGCAACUUCUGGGUGUGGCUUUUGACCUCAUGGUUCAGGAUAGCAGCUAGAGCUCCAGCAAUCACAUACGCAUUCCAGGCAGUGGAGUGGAGAAAAGGAUGAAGAAGAGGGCAGAGGGUCUGCACCAGCUCUCUUUUCGGGAAAGUUCCCAGAAGUUGCCACAUGGCACUUUCACAUAUACCACUUGAACUUACAUGACCAGACCCAGCGGCAAGAGGAAGCUGGGAAAUGCAACUUCCAUUCUGGGUAGCCACAUGCCCAACCAAGAACGAAGGACUGAAUUGCUACAGGGAGAACAGAUAUCCGGAACAACUAGUGGACUCCACCACUGAGAGGGUGGAUAGAUUGAGGGGCAGAGCCCGACUGUAUGCCAGGCGCUGUUUACAGGUCUUUCCUCAACCCUGCUAAAAGCUAUUAUUGUCCGGGGGCAGUAGCUCAUGCCUGUAAUCCCAGCACUUUGGAAGGCUGAGGUGGGGGCGUAUCAUUUGAGCCCAGGAGUUUGAGAACAGCCUGGUCCACAUAGUGAAACUGUCUCUAUUAAAAAAAAAAAAAAAAAAAAAAA
This is a long non-coding RNA of Pongo pygmaeus (Bornean orangutan), 1021 nucleotides long. RefSeq lists it as uncharacterized. The transcript has 2 exons. The record is from RefSeq and is a predicted model, not a curated record. NCBI's taxonomy places the organism in Eukaryota, Metazoa, Chordata, Mammalia, Primates, Hominidae.